ACAACCUGCAAUUCCCCUCUCAAGUGGAACAUUUCCAGAUAAUACAGCAAGAUGUGGCAGAGACUUCAAGAAAUGACGGUCUCAUAAAGAUGACAUGAAAGGAGAUUUUGAGAGAGGAAAAAUAAAAGAACAACUGCUUUGAAGCAUCAGCCCUGAUGGUGACAAAACCAUGAUCCCAGUGGUUAUCCAACUGCUAACUCAGGGCAGGCACAGAGGCUGUGAACUGUUGGAAGUCUCAGGAAAGCUCUCAGGGUAGGGAGAGACAGCUAAAGCAGAGCCUGGGCCUUCUGCUGACUUUCUGCAUGGGGUAAGUUUCAACAUAUGCAAAAAAUUUAAGUCUUUGAUCCACUUUAAUUUUGUUGCCUUUCUGUUUUGCUGCACAUCUCUUUUAUUUUAGUUUGUUUUGGUGGUGUGUGGUGGGUUUUUUUGUUUGUUUUAAUACUGAAAUUGAUUUUUUCUCUUUUGGCAUGCAUAAUAUUUGGUUUUUUUCUAAACCAAGAAGUCCUAACCUUUCCCUUAGGCCUUGGAAGUGUUUCUCUAUGUUUAUUUCUAAAAGACUUACUAUUUUCUUUCAUCUUUUGCCAAGGUAGAAAGAACAGCUCUGAAUACAGUUUGCCUAGGAGGGCUGUAAACAGGCAAACACUGCAACAUUCCUCUGAAACACUUGCUGCUGACCACCAGGAGAUGCUGAGUACCUUAGGUGUGUGGGCGCUGCUGCUGGUG
This 723-nucleotide long non-coding RNA is filed under the name Junco hyemalis (dark-eyed junco). RNAcentral describes it as "lncRNA (ENSJHYG00000009499.1)". The record is from RNAcentral. Lineage: Eukaryota; Metazoa; Chordata; Aves; Passeriformes; Passerellidae.